AAAACAUAGCCUCUUGAAAAUAUAUAAGAGGUGCCCACUGCCCAGUGAAUCAUAAACGGCCGCGGUAACUUGACCGUGCUAAGGUAGCAUAAUAAUUUGCCUCCCAAUUAGAGGAUGGAAUGAACGUGAAAACAAUAAGCAAAUUGUCUCUUAUGCUAAAUUAAAAAUUUAUCUGGGGGUGAAAAAGCCCCUAUACUAUCAAAAGACAAAAAGACCCUAGAAGCUUUUAAACCUAACAAUUUAUUAGGUAAGUUUUUUAGCUGGGAGGGCAAAAAGUUAUCAAUACACUUUUUUACAGAAGAUAUUAAAUCGAAAAUACUUAACCCCAACAAGAAUAUAAGUAAGCUACUCUAGGGGUAACAGGCUAAUACUCCUUAAGAGUACACAUUGACAGGAGUGAUUGGCACCUCGAUGUUGGCUUAGGAAAAUUAUUUUAUGCAGAAGUAAAAAUAAUUGGUUUGUUCAACCUUUAAUCUCCUACAUGAUC
RNAcentral lists this ribosomal RNA (487 nucleotides) under Trypanosyllis zebra. RNAcentral's name for it is "partial 16S ribosomal RNA". It matches the Rfam family "Bacterial large subunit ribosomal RNA", at positions 1810 to 2605 of the family's 2925-position model. Lineage: Eukaryota; Metazoa; Annelida; Polychaeta; Phyllodocida; Syllidae. The record is from RNAcentral.